GACGAACGCUGGCGGUGUGCUUAACACAUGCAAGUCGAACGGUAAGGCCCUUUCGGGGGUUCACGAGUGGCGAACGGGUGAGUAACACGUGAGUAACCUGCCCUCAUCUCUGGGAUAACAGUCGGAAACGGUUGCUAAUACUGGAUAUGAGCUUGCAAGGCAUCUUGUGGGUUGGAAAGAUUUUUUUUGGUUGGGGAUGGACUCGCGGCCUAUCAGCUUGUUGGUGGGGUAGUGGCUCAACAAGGCUUCGACGGGUAGCCGGCCUGAGAGGGCGACCGGCCACAUUGGGACUGAGAUACGGCCCAAACUCCUACGGGAGGCAGCAGUGGGGAAUAUUGCACAAUGGACGGAAGUCUGAUGCAGCAACGCCGCGUGCGGGAUGACGGCCUUCGGGUUGUAAACCGCUUUCAAUUGUGACGAAGCUUUUUUGUGACGGUAGCAGUAGAAGAAGCACCGGCUAACUACGUG
Molecule: ribosomal RNA, 468 nt
Filed under: uncultured bacterium
Lineage: Bacteria
Description: partial 16S ribosomal RNA
Rfam family: Bacterial small subunit ribosomal RNA
Source: RNAcentral